Oncorhynchus keta (chum salmon) is the source of this 1967-nucleotide RNA transcript. It is a transcript of the gene named succinate dehydrogenase [ubiquinone] iron-sulfur subunit, mitochondrial-like, with no coding region annotated. Lineage: Eukaryota; Metazoa; Chordata; Actinopteri; Salmoniformes; Salmonidae. The transcript is spliced from 9 exons. The record is from RefSeq and is a predicted model, not a curated record.
AUUAAAGGAAAUGCCGCAGUGCAUUCAGGGACAGCAGAUACCCGAGAGAGGUCAGAGAAACACAGAUUGCGCAAGAUGUCGGUCGUUUGUCUAUCGUCUUUGGGUCGCUGUAGUACGGUGGCAUUCCGUUCUUCCACUGGAAUGGUGGCAGUUCGGUACGCCCAGACAGCGGCGGCCACAGCACCCCAGCCCAGAGUCAAGAAGUUCCAGGUGUACCGCUGGGACCCAGACACGGUUGGGGAUAAGCCCCGCAUGCAGACCUUUGAGGUUGAUCUCAACACCUGUGGCCCCAUGGUAUUGGACGCCCUCAUCAAGAUAAAGAAUGAGAUGGACGGCACUCUGACCUUCCGUCGCUCCUGCAGAGAGGGUAUCUGUGGAUCCUGUGCAAUGAACAUCAAUGGAGGCAACACACUGGCCUGUCUGAACAAGAUUGACACCAACACCAGCAAGGCUACCAAGAUCUACCCUCUGCCACACAUGUAUGUGGUCAAAGAUCUGGUCCCUGACAUGAGUAAUUUCUAUGCUCAGUACAAGUCAAUCGAGCCCUACCUGAAGAAGAAGGAUGAGACAAAUGAGGGAAAGGAACAGUACCAUCAGACUGUGGAGGACAGACAAAAACUGGACGGGCUGUAUGAAUGUAUUCUGUGUGCGUGCUGCAGCACCAGCUGCCCCAGCUACUGGUGGAAUGGAGACAAGUACCUGGGACCUGCUGUCCUCAUGCAGGCCUACCGUUGGAUGAUCGACUCGAGAGACGAGUUCACAGAGGAGCGUCUCUCCAAGCUGCAGGAUCCUUUCUCUCUCUACCGCUGUCACACCAUCAUGAACUGCACUAAGACCUGCCCCAAGGGCCUGAACCCAGGGAAGGCAAUUGCAGAGAUUAAGAAGAUGAUGGCCACUUACAAGGAGAAGAAAUCAGCUGUUGCUUGAACUCUGGGGUCAUGACCCUUGACCCCCCCCCACCCCCCCUUUACAUUAAUCUACAAUUAAGAUGCCCUACUAGUGAGUUGUACUGGGCCUGCACACUUGUGAACUUCACCAACUCCAGCACUACAUCUCUCGAGACGAUCAUCCAACAGUAGGUCUGGGGCGGCAGGGUAGCCUAGUGGUUAGAGUGUUGGGCUAGUAACUGAAAGGUUGUAAGUUCAAAUCCCCGAGCUGACAAGGUACAAAUCCGUUCUGCCCCUUAACUCACUGUCAUUGAAAAUAAGAAUUUGUUCUGAACUGACCUAGUUAAAUAAAGGUAUAAUAAAAAAAUAAAAAAUUGGACUCCAAGGGAACAGUUGGGAGAGAUGUGAGACAUGACCUGCUAACUUCACUAGAAUGAUGGUUCAUUCCCAUUGUUUGGUCUGGUGUGGGUGGGUUUGAGUUGAGGGUGAUGGAUUCACAGACAAGAAAUAUGUAUAUCUGUUGCUCAUCCAUCAAAACUAUAUAAGGUUGAAGUCGGAAGUUAAUACACCUUAGUCAAAUACAUUUAAACUCACAAUUCCUGACAUUUAUUCCUAGUAAAAAUUCCCUGUCUUUGGUUCAGUUAGGAUCACCACUUUAUUUUCAGAAUGUGAAAUGUUAGAAUAAUGGUAGUGAUUUAUUUAAGCUUUUAUUUCUUUCAUCACAUUCCCAGUGGGUCAGAAGUUUACAUACACUCAAUUAGUAUUUGGUAGCAUUGCCUUUAAAUUGUUUCAUUUGGGUCAAACGUUUUAUGUAGCCUUCAUCAAGCUUCCCACAAUACGUUGGGUGAAUUUUGGCCCAUUCCUCCUGACAGAGCUGGUGUAACGGAGUCAGGUUUGUAGGCCUCCUUGCUCGCACACACUUUUUCAGUUCUGCCCACAAAUUGUCUAUAGGACUGAGGUCAGGGCUUUGUGAUGGCCACUCCAAUACCUUUACUUUGUUGUCCUUAAGCCAUUUUGCCACAACUUCGGAAGUGUGCUUGGGGUCAUUGUCCAUUUGGAAGACACAUUUGUGACCAAGCU